This 253-nucleotide ribosomal RNA is filed under the name uncultured bacterium. RNAcentral's name for it is "partial 16S ribosomal RNA". It matches the Rfam family "Bacterial small subunit ribosomal RNA", at positions 524 to 776 of the family's 1533-position model. The record is from RNAcentral.
UACGGGGGGGGAAAGCGUUGUUCGGAUUUACUGGGCGUAAAGGGCGCGUAGGCGGCGCAACAAGUCACUUGUGAAAUCUCCGGGCUUAACUCGGAGCGGCCAAGUGAUACUGUCGUGCUAGAGUGCGGAAGGGGCAACUGGAAUUCUCGGUGUAGCGGUGAAAUGCGUAGAUAUCGAGAGGAACACCUGCGGCGAAGGCGGGUUGCUGGGCCGACACUGACGCUGAGGCGCGAAAGCCAGGGGAGCGAACGGG